This 699-nucleotide ribosomal RNA is filed under the name Namazonurus pustulatus. RNAcentral describes it as "partial 12S ribosomal RNA". It matches the Rfam family "Bacterial small subunit ribosomal RNA", at positions 306 to 1392 of the family's 1533-position model. Lineage: Eukaryota; Metazoa; Chordata; Lepidosauria; Squamata; Cordylidae. The record is from RNAcentral.
ACCCACCGUNCACCUUGNCUCUGCCACACCCCCACGGGUCUUGCAGCAGUAAUUAAUAUUAAACAUAAGCGAAAGCUCGAUUUAGUUAUAGUAGACACAGAGCCGGUAAAUUUCGUGCCAGCCACCGCGGUUAUACGAAAAGCUCAUAAUAACGGCCUUCGGCGUAAAGUGUGGUUAGAACAUACAAAUUAAGGACAACACCUUCUACGCUGUAAAACGCCCAAGACCCCUGGAAUUAUCCAACCCCCUUAUAAAAAUUUGACACCACGAAAGCUGGGGCACAAACUGGGAUUAGAUACCCCACUAUGCCCAGCCAUAAACUUAGAUAGCAAAAUACUACCUAUCCGCCAGAGAACUACAAGCAAAAUACUUAAAACUCAAAGGACUUGGCGGCAUUCCAUAUCAACCUAGAGGAGCCCGUCCAAUAAUCGAUAAUACGCGUUCAACCCCACCAUUUUUGGCCACUCCAGCCUAUAUACCGCCGUCGCCAGCUAACCUUGUGAAAGAAAAGUAGUAAGCACAAUAGUCAUCGCUAAAACGUCAGGUCAAGGUGUAGCUAAUAAAAUGGGUGUGAUAGGCUACAUUUUCUAACAUAGAAAACACAGAAGAUACAAUGAAACCUUGUAACAGAAGGCGAAUUUAGAAGUAAACUAAGAAAGGACCCUUACUUUAACACCGCCCUGGAAUGCGCACACACCG